AGGGUCCCUGCCGUGGCCUUCCCCGUCUCUGGAGUGCCUCCUGGUUGAAUGCUUGGUCCCCCUGAGUUUCUGUUUGCCUCUCUCUGGGUUGUAGGUGCCUCGGCUAACAAAUUGCGGUACUUCAUCAUUCAAGACUUCCUGAUCUCCUGUGGGGCUCAUUUCGAAGCUGUCGGACCGGGACGAUUGAGAUGCAUUCAGAGCCUGAGCCUGGGCUGAACCUGAGGGAGACUUGUUGUGGAAACGAAAGCGCCGGCCGGUGGCAGAUGAAGUUGGCUGGAAGUGUGAUGAGGAGGAGUAGGAGGAAACGCUGGAGCAAGAGUCCACAGAGUCCAGGGAGUCAGGCUGCCUGCGGAGAGCCCGGCGUCGGGGGCUCUGUGCGUCAGACCUCCGAGGCCAGGGGGAGGUCACCAUGGGACCUCUCUCUGCGAGGGGAGGCCAAACAUGUCAGGGUUAAAGCUUUUUGAAUAUUUUCUUCCUUAUACACAAACAGAAAGUGAAAGGCUCUCAAUUUGCUCCGUCAACACCCUCUCUUCCUGCUGCAUGGCUGCCUGCUGAUGCUCAGAGAUUUCUGGAAAAGAGUCGGCUCUCUCUUCACCAUCGCUCUCUGUUAUCACAGCAUCAGGCACAAACGGCAGCCGAGGGCUAACCGGAGGCGAGGGCGUGUGGUAGCUCAGUCGCUGUACGUGGCCUUUUCCCUAAAAACAAAUCAAAGGCAGAGGUCGUCUUGUCACUGUUGUCCACAUUUCACUUGUGCUCCAUUCAUCAAAACAGACUGACCAACAAUAAAUGAAAUAGUUACAGCACAUUCCACCACUUAUAAGCUACACAUUUACACAUGCAGUGACUGAACCACAUACAUGACAUGCAAAGUCCAAAACAACACAGCAGCACUAAACCUCUGGUCCAAAAUACAGAUACAUACAGUACAGCAAAAUGAUACACAAAUGUUACCUUUUUGGCUGCAUUUGGCUGCUUCAGGUUUAAGUGAGAAGCAAAAAGGAUAAAAUCAGUAACGCCAGGUUUAUAAAGGUCAAGGUUUUAAUCCUAAAUGACUUUAUUGAACAGCUGUGUACGAGUUGUGGUGAGCUAACAGCAACAAAUAUAUCUGGUAGUUAACAAUGAACAAUACAAACAUGUAAGAUAUCAACAUGACUUUUGAUUGGGAAAGGUAAAAAAAAAAGGGACACACUAGACGUUAUAAGGGAGGGAAA
Long non-coding RNA from Notolabrus celidotus (New Zealand spotty), 1211 nucleotides. RefSeq lists it as uncharacterized. NCBI's taxonomy places the organism in Eukaryota, Metazoa, Chordata, Actinopteri, Labriformes, Labridae. The transcript is spliced from 2 exons. The record is from RefSeq and is a predicted model, not a curated record.